UAACCUGAAGGGUGUGGAGAUGCUCAGAC
This 29-nucleotide non-coding RNA is filed under the name Bombyx mori (domestic silkworm). Lineage: Eukaryota; Metazoa; Arthropoda; Insecta; Lepidoptera; Bombycidae. The record is from RNAcentral.